This 255-nucleotide ribosomal RNA is filed under the name Rahnella sp. 81_b_2_2. RNAcentral describes it as "partial 16S ribosomal RNA". It matches the Rfam family "Bacterial small subunit ribosomal RNA", at positions 74 to 329 of the family's 1533-position model. The record is from RNAcentral. Lineage: Bacteria; Pseudomonadati; Pseudomonadota; Gammaproteobacteria; Enterobacterales; Yersiniaceae.
AGUAGCUUGCUACUUUGCCGGCGAGCGGCGGACGGGUGAGUAAUGUCUGGGAAACUGCCUGAUGGAGGGGGAUAACUACUGGAAACGGUAGCUAAUACCGCAUGACCUCGYAAGAGCAAAGUGGGGGACCUUCGGGCCUCACGCCAUCGGAUGUGCCCAGAUGGGAUUAGCUAGUAGGUGAGGUAAUGGCUCACCUAGGCGACGAUCCCUAGCUGGUCUGAGAGGAUGACCAGCCACACUGGAACUGAGACACGG